GGGGAUGAAGCUCAGUUGGUAGAGUGCUUGCCUAGCUAGCAAAAAGUCCUGGAUUCAAUUUCCAGCACUUCA
This 72-nucleotide transfer RNA is filed under the name Neotoma lepida (desert woodrat). It matches the Rfam family "tRNA". Rfam says of the family: Transfer RNA (tRNA) molecules are approximately 80 nucleotides in length. Lineage: Eukaryota; Metazoa; Chordata; Mammalia; Rodentia; Cricetidae. The record is from Rfam by way of RNAcentral.